Molecule: ribosomal RNA, 588 nt
Filed under: uncultured bacterium
Lineage: Bacteria
Description: bacterial SSU rRNA
Rfam family: Bacterial small subunit ribosomal RNA
Source: RNAcentral
CCUACGGGAGGCAGCAGUGGGGAAUUUUCCGCAAUGGGCGAAAGCCUGACGGAGCAAUACCGCGUGAGGGAGGAAGGCUCUUGGGUUGUAAACCUCUUUUUUCAGGGAAGAUAAUGACGGUACCUGAGGAAUAAGCAUCGGCUAACUCCGUGCCAGCAGCCGCGGUAAUACGGAGGAUGCAAGCGUUAUCCGGAAUGAUUGGGCGUAAAGCGUCCGCAGGUGGUUUUAAAAGUCUGUUGUUAAAGCGUGAGGCUUAACCUCAUAAGGGCAAUGGAAACUGUAAGACUAGAGUACGUUCGGGGCAAGGGGAAUUCCCAGUGUAGCGGUGAAAUGCGUAGAGAUUGGGAAGAACACCGGUGGCGAAAGCGCCUUGCUAGGCCGUAACUGACACUGAGGGACGAAAGCUAGGGGAGCGAAUGGGAUUAGAUACCCCAGUAGUCCUAGCCGUAAACGAUGGAUACUAGGCGUUGUCUGUAUCGACCCGGACAGUGCCGUAGCUAACGCGUUAAGUAUCCCGCCUGGGGAGUACGCACGCAAGUGUGAAACUUAAAGAUAUGACGUGNGAGAGCACGACGACGACACGAGGAG